Non-coding RNA from Schizosaccharomyces pombe (fission yeast), 418 nucleotides. Lineage: Eukaryota; Fungi; Ascomycota; Schizosaccharomycetes; Schizosaccharomycetales; Schizosaccharomycetaceae. The record is from the annotation of a GenBank genome assembly.
AUGUUUCUGCGUUCCUGAGUCGCUUUCAGAGGAGAGUGCAUCCCGGUCAUAUCGGUGCUUUUCUCUGUAACUAGUUCGAGAUUCCCUCCAUCUUCCAUCUCGAGAUCUUCCGAACUCAUCAAAUCCUUCAUCAUCUCGUGUUCUAUAAUGUCGUUCCCGACGUCGAGUUGGUCUAUAUCGAUCUUCAUACCUUUCUUUAUGAGAGCGUGAAUAAGAGCGAAUAUCGUACCUCUCACCUCUUGGCUUUUCUGAGAACCGAGAAUGAGGCGACGGGCUUCGACCAUAUCUGUUACGUUCAGUGUCACUUGCAUCAUGAAACCUUUUACGGUCUAAAGUAGACCGUGAUGUUCUUUUCCCAUUUCUUUCUCUUGAGUCAUAAUAAGUUGACUCGCGCCUUGAUUCUCUACGAUUUGAAUGA